CGGAAGGAUCAUUAUUGAAAACAAGGGUGUCCAAUUUAACUUGGAACCCAAACUUCUCAAUUCUAACUUUGUGCAUCUGUAUUAAUGGCGAGCAACUUCGGUUGUGAGCCUUCACUUACAAAACACUAGUCUAUGAAUGUAAAAUUUUUAUAACAAAUAAAAACUUUCAACAACGGAUCUCUUGGCUCUCGCAUCGAUGAAGAACGCAGCGAAAUGCGAUACGUAAUGUGAAUUGCAGAAUUCAGUGAAUCAUCGAAUCUUUGAACGCAUCUUGCGCUCUCUGGUAUUCCGGAGAGCAUGUCUGUUUGAGUGUCAUGAAUUCUUCAACCCAAUCUUUUCUUGUAAUCGAUUGGUGUUUGGAUUCUGAGCGUUGCUGGCGUUUGCCUAGCUCGUUCGUAAUACAUUAGCAUCCCUAAUACAAGUUUGGAUUGACUUGGCGUAAUAGACUAUUCGCUAAGGAUUCGGUGGAAACAUCGAGCCAACUUCAUUAAGGAAGCUCCUAAUUUAAAAGUCUACCUUUUGAUUAGAUCUCAAAUCAGGCAGGAUUACCCGCU
RNAcentral lists this ribosomal RNA (554 nucleotides) under Sporobolomyces pararoseus. RNAcentral describes it as "eukaryotic LSU rRNA". The stretch from base 162 to 315 matches the Rfam family "5.8S ribosomal RNA". Lineage: Eukaryota; Fungi; Basidiomycota; Microbotryomycetes; Sporidiobolales; Sporidiobolaceae. The record is from RNAcentral.